AGAAAAGUAAACUAAUUUUAAGUUAGUAGGUUCAUACCCUAAAUAUAGAAAUUCAUUCUCUUUUCUA
This 67-nucleotide transfer RNA is filed under the name Melamphaus rubrocinctus. Its description in RNAcentral is "tRNA-Met". The record is from RNAcentral. Lineage: Eukaryota; Metazoa; Arthropoda; Insecta; Hemiptera; Pyrrhocoridae.